UGAGGAAUAUUGGUCAAUGGGCGCGAGCCUGAACCAGCCAAGUAGCGUGAAGGAUGAAGGUCCUAUGGAUUGUAAACUUCUUUUAUAGCAGAAUAAAGUGACCCACGUGUGGGUUUUUGUAUGUAUGCUAUGAAUAAGGAUCGGCUAACUCCGUGCCAGCAGCCGCGGUAAUACGGAGGAUCCGAGCGUUAUCCGGAUUUAUUGGGUUUAAAGGGUGCGUAGGUGGGCUUAUAAGUCAGUGGUGAAAUCUCCGAGCUUAACUUGGAAACUGCCGUUAAUACUAGAGGUCUUGAAUUAUCUGGAGGUAAGCGGAAUAUGUCGUGUAGCAGUGAAAUGCUUAGAUAUGACAUAGAACACCAGUUGCGAAGGCAGCUUACUACAUAUAAAUUGACGCUGAGGCACGAAAGCG
Molecule: ribosomal RNA, 409 nt
Filed under: uncultured bacterium
Lineage: Bacteria
Description: bacterial SSU rRNA
Rfam family: Bacterial small subunit ribosomal RNA
Source: RNAcentral